Molecule: long non-coding RNA, 169 nt
Organism: Carassius auratus (goldfish)
Lineage: Eukaryota; Metazoa; Chordata; Actinopteri; Cypriniformes; Cyprinidae
Exons: 2
Source: RefSeq, a predicted model, not a curated record
GCCCAGAUAUUUUCAGACAUCCUGAUCCCAUGAAGAGAAGCCAGUGCCCACACAGUCAUUCUGAUGAUGAAAUGUCUCUGUGCUCCGAGCUGUUAGACAGAGAAAUUAAACGGUUUCGGAAGCUGUCAUCUGCCUCUAAACCCAGCACUCUACGCUGUGCAGGUGUGUG